Oncorhynchus tshawytscha (Chinook salmon) is the source of this 825-nucleotide long non-coding RNA. The record is from Ensembl. NCBI's taxonomy places the organism in Eukaryota, Metazoa, Chordata, Actinopteri, Salmoniformes, Salmonidae.
CACCACCCUCUGGAGAGCACUGAGGUUGUGGAUGCUGCAAUUGCUGUACCAGCCCUGUCGAUGUGGGUGGGAGCGUGUUCUCUCUGCUGUCUCCUGAAGUCCAGAGUCAGCUCCUUCACUUUGUUGACUUUGAGGGAGAGGUUAUUUUCCUGGCACCACUCCGCCAGGCCCUGAUCGACAUUGGAGGAACAAUGGUGGACAUCUUGAAGCAAGUGGGGACAACAGACUGUGAUAGAAAGAGAUUAAUUAUGUUCGUAAACACUCCAGUCAGUUGGUCUGCACAUACUCUGAGGACGCAGCUUGGGACGCCGUCUUGGUCGGAGGGUUAACACACUUAAAUAUCAGUGGAGGCAGCUGAACGGAGGACAGCUCAUAAUAAUGGCUGGAACGGAGCGAAUGGAAAGGCAUCACAUCAAACACAUGGAAACCAUUCCGCUCCACCAUUACCACGGGUCCAUCCACCUCAAUUAAGGUGCCAUCAAACUCCUGUGGCGAAGAAGAAUUUUAGCUUGCCUGGGAGCAAGAUCAAUAAAAUCAGAUCAACAUCUGAGCAAUAACAUUGCUAAAUACGUGUAUGUUACCAAUAACAUCCAACAUUUGAUUGGAUUUUAUUUGAGAUAUCGGUGGCUGGCUUUCUGAAUCCCUUCUGUGACUGUCUGGAAUGUGGCAAAUGGUGGAAAAGGCCUCAACCAAGAUUUUAGACCAUGUUAGUUGAAAACUAUUAAAAAAAAUAGUUUGCUGUUAUUAAAAGAGACAAAUUCUUGUCUCCUAUUAUUUAAAAAGAUCUCUCAUGGUUGAAAUUCUCCAAAUCAUAUCUCCUAUCAG